UAGUUCGAUCAUGGCUCAGGAUGAACGCUGGCGGCAUGCCUAAUACAUGCAAGUCGAACGGAGUGAAGCCUUCGGGUUUCAUUCAGUGGCGAACGGGUGAGUAAUACGCAGGGAACCUGGCCAUGGCAGGGGGAUACACUCUGGAAACGGAGCAUAAGACCCCAUAGGCAGUAAGGCGGCAUCGCCUUACUGUUAAAGAAAGCUGAAAGGCUUUGGCGAUGGAUGGACCUGCGGUGCAUUAGCUUGUUGGUGAGGCAACGGCUUACCAAGGCGAUGAUGCAUAGCCGGCCUGAGAGGGCGGACGGCCACACUGGGACUGAGACACGGCCCAGACUCCUGCGGGAGGCAGCAGUAGGGAAUUUUCGUCAAUGGGCGCAAGCCUGAACGAGCAAUGCCGCGUGAGUGAGGAAGGUCUUCGGACUGUAAAGCUCUGUUGCCGGGGAAAAAGGGGAAAUGCAGGAAAUGGCAUUUCAUGGAUGGUACCCGGCCAGAAAGCCACGGCUAACUACGUGCCAGCAGCCGCGGUAAUACGUAGGUGGCGAGCGUUAUCCGGAAUGAUUGGGCGUAAAGGGUGCGCAGGCGGUCUGUUAAGUCUGAAGGCAAAGGGAUGAGCUCAACUCAUUUAUGAUUCAGAAACUGGCAGACUUGAGGACAGGAGAGGGCGGUGGAACUCCAUGUGUAGCGGUAAAAUGCGCAGAGAUAUGGAAGAACACCAGUGGCGAAGGCGGCCGCCUGGCCUGUGACUGACGCUGAGGCACGAAAGCGUGGGGAGCAAAUAGGAUUAGAUACCCUAGUAGUCCACGCCGUAAACGAUGAGGAGCAGGUGUUGGGAGUGAAAUCUCAGUGCCGAAGCCAACGCAGUGACUCCUCCGCCUGGGGAGUAUGUACGCAAGUGUGAAACUCAAAGGAAUUGACGGGGGCCCGCACAAGCGGUGGAGUAUGUGGUUUAAUUCGAAGCAACGCGAAGAACCUUACCAGGUUUUGACAUCGGAUGCGAAGGUGCAGAGAUGCGCUGGAGGUUAACAUCCAGACAGGUGGUGCAUGGUUGUCGUCAGCUCGUGUCGUGAGAUGUUCAGUUAAGUCUGGCAACGAGCGCAACCCCCGUGGUAUGUUACUAACGCUUAGGGCGAGGACUCAUAUCAGACUGCCGGUGACAAACCGGAGGAAGGCGGGGAUGACGUCAAAUCAUCAUGCCCCUUAUGACCUGGGCUACACACGUACUACAAUGGCGUCUACAGAGGGAAGCGACCCUGAGAAGGGAAGCGAAACCGGAAAAGGGCGUCCCAGUUCGGAUUGAAGUCUGCAACCCGACUUCAUGAAGAUGGAAUCGCUAGUAAUCGCGGAUCAGCAUGCCGCGGUGAAUACGUUCCCGGGCCUUGUACACACCGCCCGUCAAACCAUGGAAGCCGGCAACGCCCGAAGCCGGUGGCAUAACCUUUUAGGAGUGAGCCGUCGAAGGCGGGGCCGAUGACUGGGGUUAAGUCGUAACAAGGUACCC
Molecule: ribosomal RNA, 1498 nt
Filed under: uncultured bacterium
Lineage: Bacteria
Description: bacterial SSU rRNA
Rfam family: Bacterial small subunit ribosomal RNA
Source: RNAcentral